CCGCCCCCCGCGCCCACCACCUUCCUCCCCUCCCCAUCCCGCCUCGUCGCCAUCGGCGACCUCCCCAAGUCCCUCACCGCCCUCCGCCUCGCCGGCCUCUUGCCUACCGCCAACAGCCCCGGCUCCAGCGCCAGCUCCACCUCCUGGUCCGCCGGCCCCACCCUCGCCGUCCAGCUCGGCGACAUCCUGGAUCGAGGCGGCGACGAGCUCCGCCUCCUCUACUUCCUCCGUCGCCUCAGCAUCUCCGCCGCCGCGCAGGGCGGCGCGCUCCUCCCGGUACUCGGCAACCACGAGGUCAUGAACGUGUCCGGCGACUUUCGCUUCGUCAGGCCGCAGGGCCUGCAGGAGUUCUCCGGCUGGGCCGGCUGGUACCGCGCUGGCCUCGCCAUUAAGCGCCGCUGUGGCGGGCUCGAGCAGCCCAAGAACCCCUUCCUCGGCGUCCCCAAGGCCUUCCCCGGCAUCAAGCGGGAGUUUUGGGACGGCAUCCGAUCUCGCCUCGCCGCGCUCCGCCCGGACGGCCCCAUCGCGCGGAGGUUCUUGGCUGAUCUGCCCACCGUCCUUGUAGUCGGCGACUCGGUGUUCGUCCAUGGUGGCCUUCUUGAGGCCAAUGUCGAGUAUGGCCUGGAGCGGAUCAAUGCCGAGGUCAGCGACUGGAUCCGGGGUGAGCAUGGCAACAAUGCCAGGGCGCCAGAGUAUGUGUGCGGCCGAGACGCGGUCGUGUGGCUCAGGAGGUUCUCUGAAGGCUUCAAUUGCGACUGCCAGAGGCUUCAGGGCGUUCUUGGGAUGAUCCCUGGAGCAAAGAGGAUGGUAAUGGGGCACACGAUACAGAGCGAGGGAAUCAAUGCAGUUUGUGGGGCACAGGCCGUCAGGGUGGAUGUUGGUUUGUCGAGGGGGUGUGGUAAUGGGCUGCCGGAGGUGCUCGAGAUCAAUGGUGGAGGAUCAGAUGUGAGGGUGAUCACAACAGAUCCAACAGAGGCCUGGCAGUACCGGAAGCAGAAGUCGGAGAAAUCUGCCACGGCAUUGGAGAAGAAAGGGGAGGUAAAGGAUGGACUUGCAUUGCUGGUAAGGGAGAGCCAUGUAUUGAAAGGUGUAGAAGCUAAGGCUUAG
This 1107-nucleotide ribosomal RNA is filed under the name Triticum aestivum (bread wheat). Its description in RNAcentral is "partial small subunit ribosomal RNA". Lineage: Eukaryota; Viridiplantae; Streptophyta; Magnoliopsida; Poales; Poaceae. The record is from RNAcentral.